Long non-coding RNA from Mustela erminea (ermine), 1141 nucleotides. RefSeq lists it as uncharacterized. The record is from RefSeq and is a predicted model, not a curated record. The transcript is spliced from 3 exons. Lineage: Eukaryota; Metazoa; Chordata; Mammalia; Carnivora; Mustelidae.
GACCCCGAGAUCAUGACCUGAGCCGAAGGCAGUGGUUUAACUCACUGAGCCACCCAGGUGCCCCUGAUGGGCAGUUUUUAAAAGCAAUCUUUGAAAGAGACUUCUUCUACAAAAGAAUAUAGAACUUUUGAACACAAGUGUUCAGCUAAACAAAAAAGUUCAGAAUGGUCCAGAUUGUAGGAAACCAAGAAAUUAGAGACGGUCCGAGGGAAAUGAGAGAGGCCUCAAAUAAGUUUAACCCAAUGUCAAUUUAACUGCCUCCGUACCAGGAGCAUAGGAACCUUUACUUUUAGGGCAAGUCUGGAUUGCACUGUAUGAAAAGGGCCAUGAAUUCUUGGAGCAGAAUGGUACAAGAAGCAGAAAUGAGAGAAAGGCCUGGGUAAGUGUGGGCAGCACAAUCACCACUUUGGGGUGGGGCCUGAAUUUCUAAAAUGACACCAUUUGUAAAAAGGGUUUCAAAUACUAUUUUGACUGGUGAUUGCAUGUCCGUAAAGAGUAUUAAUUAUUUUGGGACUACCUCCAAUGUUUAGAUGCUCCGUCUUUGGAACACACUGAUUGAUUAGUUAAUCUACAGCUGCUCCUGGUGCUUGGCAACUGUCCCCGUCUUGUUGCUAGGAGAUCAAGACAGCUCCAAACCGGCCUGUGUGACAGGCACCGUGAAGAGGUGGUGGGUUCUGCCGACGAGCCACAGUGCCAUCAAGUGGUCACUCUGCAAAACGGUUCGACGGAGUGGUUGUUCCAGAGCUUAUCCUUGUGGCUGAUCCUGGUCAAGGAGCUCCCACAGACCUUGGUGCUGUGGCUUCACGGUCUGAACCUCAGAAUCCAAGAGCCAAUGAAAUAACUGUCUAGCUCAGUCUGUCAUUUUAGAGUGCCAUCUGCUGAUGUGGUAAGUGAGAAGAUGAGGAGGAAAAAGAGAAGGAAGAAAAAUUUGAGAUGUUCUUUUUAUCUUUGAAUCUGUUGACUGAAGGAAGCACCUCCACUUAAAAACAUCGGCUCUGCAGACGUUUUGUACAUGAGCUCUUUCAUGGAGGUUGGUCCUGGCCCUGAAUACCAAAUCCAGUCUUGUCUCAUUUCUCUGUGAUUGUAUCUCUGACGCUCAACACCACAAGUCCAAGAACCUAUCAACUUAUCCAUGGCCAAA